RNAcentral lists this ribosomal RNA (2901 nucleotides) under Klebsiella variicola. Its description in RNAcentral is "23S ribosomal RNA". It matches the Rfam family "Bacterial large subunit ribosomal RNA". Lineage: Bacteria; Pseudomonadati; Pseudomonadota; Gammaproteobacteria; Enterobacterales; Enterobacteriaceae. The record is from RNAcentral.
UUAAGCGACUAAGCGUACACGGUGGAUGCCCUGGCAGUCAGAGGCGAUGAAGGACGUGCUAAUCUGCGAAAAGCGUCGGUAAGGUGAUAUGAACCGUUAUAGCCGGCGAUGUCCGAAUGGGGAAACCCAGUGUGAUUCGUCACACUAUCGUUAACUGAAUACAUAGGUUAACGAGGCGAACCGGGGGAACUGAAACAUCUAAGUACCCCGAGGAAAAGAAAUCAACCGAGAUUCCCCCAGUAGCGGCGAGCGAACGGGGAGCAGCCCAGAGUCUGAAUCAGCUUGUGUGUUAGUGGAACGGUCUGGAAAGUCCGACGGUACAGGGUGAUAGUCCCGUACACCAAAAUGCACAGGCUGUGAACUCGAAGAGUAGGGCGGGACACGUGGUAUCCUGUCUGAAUAUGGGGGGACCAUCCUCCAAGGCUAAAUACUCCUGACUGACCGAUAGUGAACCAGUACCGUGAGGGAAAGGCGAAAAGAACCCCGGCGAGGGGAGUGAAAAAGAACCUGAAACCGUGUACGUACAAGCAGUGGGAGCACCUUCGGGUGUGACUGCGUACCUUUUGUAUAAUGGGUCAGCGACUUAUAUUCUGUAGCAAGGUUAACCGUAUAGGGGAGCCGCAGGGAAACCGAGUCUUAACUGGGCGUUAAGUUGCAGGGUAUAGACCCGAAACCCGGUGAUCUAGCCAUGGGCAGGUUGAAGGUUGGGUAACACUAACUGGAGGACCGAACCGACUAAUGUUGAAAAAUUAGCGGAUGACUUGUGGCUGGGGGUGAAAGGCCAAUCAAACCGGGAGAUAGCUGGUUCUCCCCGAAAGCUAUUUAGGUAGCGCCUCGUGAACUCAUCUUCGGGGGUAGAGCACUGUUUCGGCUAGGGGGUCAUCCCGACUUACCAACCCGAUGCAAACUACGAAUACCGAAGAAUGUUAUCACGGGAGACACACGGCGGGUGCUAACGUCCGUCGUGAAGAGGGAAACAACCCAGACCGCCAGCUAAGGUCCCAAAGUCAUGGUUAAGUGGGAAACGAUGUGGGAAGGCACAGACAGCCAGGAUGUUGGCUUAGAAGCAGCCAUCAUUUAAAGAAAGCGUAAUAGCUCACUGGUCGAGUCGGCCUGCGCGGAAGAUGUAACGGGGCUAAACCAUGCACCGAAGCUGCGGCAGCGACACUAUGUGUUGUUGGGUAGGGGAGCGUUCUGUAAGCCUGCGAAGGUGGCCUGUGAGGGCUGCUGGAGGUAUCAGAAGUGCGAAUGCUGACAUAAGUAACGAUAAAGCGGGUGAAAAGCCCGCUCGCCGGAAGACCAAGGGUUCCUGUCCAACGUUAAUCGGGGCAGGGUGAGUCGACCCCUAAGGCGAGGCCGAAAGGCGUAGUCGAUGGGAAACAGGUUAAUAUUCCUGUACUUGGUGUUACUGCGAAGGGGGGACGGAGAAGGCUAUGUUAGCCGGGCGACGGUUGUCCCGGUUUAAGCAUGUAGGCGGAGGUUCCAGGUAAAUCCGGUACCUUUUAACGCUGAGGUGUGAUGACGAGGCACUACGGUGCUGAAGUAACAAAUGCCCUGCUUCCAGGAAAAGCCUCUAAGCAUCAGGUAACAUUAAAUCGUACCCCAAACCGACACAGGUGGUCAGGUAGAGAAUACCAAGGCGCUUGAGAGAACUCGGGUGAAGGAACUAGGCAAAAUGGUGCCGUAACUUCGGGAGAAGGCACGCUGGUGUGUAGGUGAAGUCCCUGCGGAUGGAGCUGAGACCAGUCGAAGAUACCAGCUGGCUGCAACUGUUUAUUAAAAACACAGCACUGUGCAAACACGAAAGUGGACGUAUACGGUGUGACGCCUGCCCGGUGCCGGAAGGUUAAUUGAUGGGGUUAUCCGUAAGGAGAAGCUCUUGAUCGAAGCCCCGGUAAACGGCGGCCGUAACUAUAACGGUCCUAAGGUAGCGAAAUUCCUUGUCGGGUAAGUUCCGACCUGCACGAAUGGCGUAAUGAUGGCCAGGCUGUCUCCACCCGAGACUCAGUGAAAUUGAACUCGCUGUGAAGAUGCAGUGUACCCGCGGCAAGACGGAAAGACCCCGUGAACCUUUACUAUAGCUUGACACUGAACAUUGAGCCUUGAUGUGUAGGAUAGGUGGGAGGCUUUGAAGCGUGGACGCCAGUCUGCGUGGAGCCAACCUUGAAAUACCACCCUUUAAUGUUUGAUGUUCUAACGUUGGCCCCUAAUCGGGGUUGCGGACAGUGUCUGGUGGGUAGUUUGACUGGGGCGGUCUCCUCCCAAAGAGUAACGGAGGAGCACGAAGGUUAGCUAAUCCUGGUCGGACAUCAGGAGGUUAGUGCAAUGGCAUAAGCUAGCUUGACUGCGAGCGUGACGGCGCGAGCAGGUGCGAAAGCAGGUCAUAGUGAUCCGGUGGUUCUGAAUGGAAGGGCCAUCGCUCAACGGAUAAAAGGUACUCCGGGGAUAACAGGCUGAUACCGCCCAAGAGUUCAUAUCGACGGCGGUGUUUGGCACCUCGAUGUCGGCUCAUCACAUCCUGGGGCUGAAGUAGGUCCCAAGGGUAUGGCUGUUCGCCAUUUAAAGUGGUACGCGAGCUGGGUUUAGAACGUCGUGAGACAGUUCGGUCCCUAUCUGCCGUGGGCGCUGGAGAAUUGAGGGGGGCUGCUCCUAGUACGAGAGGACCGGAGUGGACGCAUCACUGGUGUUCGGGUUGUCAUGCCAAUGGCACUGCCCGGUAGCUAAAUGCGGAAGAGAUAAGUGCUGAAAGCAUCUAAGCACGAAACUUGCCCCGAGAUGAGUUCUCCCUGAGACUUUAAGUCUCCUGAAGGAACGUUGAAGACGACGACGUUGAUAGGCCGGGUGUGUAAGCGCAGCGAUGCGUUGAGCUAACCGGUACUAAUGAACCGUGAGGCUUAACCU